GUCUAAGGCCAUAUCACCCUCAACCUGCCCAAUCUCAUCUGGUCUCAGAAGCUAAACAAGGUCAGGCCUGGUUAGUGCUUGGACA
Molecule: ribosomal RNA, 85 nt
Filed under: Castor canadensis (American beaver)
Lineage: Eukaryota; Metazoa; Chordata; Mammalia; Rodentia; Castoridae
Source: RNAcentral